CAUGGCUCAGAUUGAACGCUGGCGGCAGGCCUAACACAUGCAAGUCGAGCGGAUGAAGGGAGCUUGCUCCUGGAUUCAGCGGCGGGCGGGUGAGUAACGCCUAGGAAUCUGCCUGGUAGUGGGGGAUAACGUCCGGAAACGGGCGCUAAUACCGCAUACGUCCUGAGGGAGAAAGUGGGGGAUCUUCGGACCUCACGCUAUCAGAUGAGCCUAGGUCGGAUUAGCUAGUUGGUGGGGUAAAGGCCUACCAAGGCGACGAUCCGUAACUGGUCUGAGAGGAUGAUCAGUCACACUGGAACUGAGACACGGUCCAGACUCCUACGGGAGGCAGCAGUGGGGAAUAUUGGACAAUGGGCGAAAGCCUGAUCCAGCCAUGCCGCGUGUGUGAAGAAGGUCUUCGGAUUGUAAAGCACUUUAAGUUGGGAGGAAGGGCAGUAAGUUAAUACCUUGCUGUUUUGACGUUACCAACAGAAUAAGCACCGGCUAACUUCGUGCCAGCAGCCGCGGUAAUACGAAGGGUGCAAGCGUUAAUCGGAAUUACUGGGCGUAAAGCGCGCGUAGGUGGUUCAGCAAGUUGGAUGUGAAAUCCCCGGGCUCAACCUGGGAACUGCAUCCAAAACUACUGAGCUAGAGUACGGUAGAGGGUGGUGGAAUUUCCUGUGUAGCGGUGAAAUGCGUAGAUAUAGGAAGGAACACCAGUGGCGAAGGCGACCACCUGGACUGAUACUGACACUGAGGUGCGAAAGCGUGGGGAGCAAACAGGAUUAGAUACCCUGGUAGUCCACGCCGUAAACGAUGUCGACUAGCCGUUGGGAUCCUUGAGAUCUUAGUGGCGCAGCUAACGCGAUAAGUCGACCGCCUGGGGAGUACGGCCGCAAGGUUAAAACUCAAAUGAAUUGACGGGGGCCCGCACAAGCGGUGGAGCAUGUGGUUUAAUUCGAAGCAACGCGAAGAACCUUACCUGGCCUUGACAUGCUGAGAACUUUCCAGAGAUGGAUUGGUGCCUUCGGGAACUCAGACACAGGUGCUGCACGGCUGUCGUCAGCUCGUGUCGUGAGAUGUUGGGUUAAGUCCCGUAACGAGCGCAACCCUUGUCCUUAGUUACCAGCACCUCGGGUGGGCACUCUAAGGAGACUGCCGGUGACAAACCGGAGGAAGGUGGGGAUGACGUCAAGUCGUCAUGGCCCUUACGGCCAGGGCUACACACGUGCUACAAUGGUCGGUACAAAGGGUUGCCAAGCCGCGAGGUGGAGCUAAUCCCAUAAAACCGAUCGUAGUCCGGAUCGCAGUCUGCAACUCGACUGCGUGAAGUCGGAAUCGCUAGUAAUCGUGAAUCAGAAUGUCACGGUGAAUACGUUCCCGGGCCUUGUACACACCGCCCGUCACACCAUGGGAGUGGGUUGCUCCAGAAGUAGCUAGUCUAACCGCAAGGGGGACGGUUACCACGGAGUGAUUCAUGACUGGGGUGAAGUCGUAACAAGGUAGCCGU
RNAcentral lists this ribosomal RNA (1489 nucleotides) under uncultured bacterium. Its description in RNAcentral is "16S ribosomal RNA". It matches the Rfam family "Bacterial small subunit ribosomal RNA". The record is from RNAcentral.